AAAGCAGGGGAUCGUAAGACCUUGCGCUUUUGGAGUGGCCGAUGCCUGAUUAGCUAGUUGGUGGGGUAAGGGCCUACCAAGGCAACGAUCAGUAGUUGGUCUGAGAGGACGACCAGCCACACUGGGACUGAGACACGGCCCAGACUCCUACGGGAGGCAGCAGUGGGGAAUUUUGGACAAUGGGCGAAAGCCUGAUCCAGCAAUGCCGCGUGAGUGAAGAAGGCCUUCGGGUUGUAAAGCUCUUUCAGUCGAGAAGAAAAGGUUGUGACUAAUAAUCACAACUUAUGACGGUACCGACAGAAGAAGCACCGGCUAACUACGUGCCAGCAGCCGCGGUAAUACGUAGGGUGCGAGCGUUAAUCGGAAUUACUGGGCGUAAAGGGUGCGCAGGCGGCUUUGUAAGUCAGAUGUGAAAUCCCCGGGCUUAACCUGGGAAUUGCGUUUGAAACUACAAGGCUAGA
This 461-nucleotide ribosomal RNA is filed under the name uncultured ammonia-oxidizing beta proteobacterium. RNAcentral's name for it is "bacterial SSU rRNA". It matches the Rfam family "Bacterial small subunit ribosomal RNA", at positions 202 to 645 of the family's 1533-position model. The record is from RNAcentral. Lineage: Bacteria; Pseudomonadati; Pseudomonadota; Betaproteobacteria.